Molecule: ribosomal RNA, 489 nt
Filed under: uncultured bacterium
Lineage: Bacteria
Description: partial 16S ribosomal RNA
Rfam family: Bacterial small subunit ribosomal RNA
Source: RNAcentral
GACGAACGCUGGCGGCGUGCUUAACACAUGCAAGUCGAACGGAAAGGCCCCCAUCUUGGUGGGGGUGCUCGAGUGGCGAACGGGUGAGUAACACGUGGGUGAUCUGCCCUGUACUUCGGGAUAAGCUUGGGAAACUGGGUCUAAUACCGGAUAGGACCAUGGUUUAGUGUCUCAUGGUGGAAAGAUUAUUGUUUUGGUGCAGGAUGAGCUCGCGGCCUAUCAGCCUGUUGGUGGGGUAAUGGCCUACCAAGGCGUCGACGGGUAGCCGGCCUGAGAGGGUGGACGGCCACAUUGGGACUGAGAUACGGCCCAGACUCCUACGGGAGGCAGCAGUGGGGAAUAUUGCACAAUGGGCGCAAGCCUGAUGCAGCGACGCCGCGUGGGGGAUGACGGCCUUCGGGUUGUAAACUCCUUUCGUUAGGGACGAAGCCGCACUUUUUUUGGGUGUGGUGACGGUACCUUUGUUAAGAAGCACCGGCUAACUACGUG